Molecule: ribosomal RNA, 255 nt
Filed under: uncultured bacterium
Lineage: Bacteria
Description: partial 16S ribosomal RNA
Rfam family: Bacterial small subunit ribosomal RNA
Source: RNAcentral
ACGGGUGAGUAACGCGUGAGCAACCUGCCCAUAAGAGGGGGACAACAGUUGGAAACGACUGCUAAUACCGCAUAAGCCCACGGCUCGGCAUCGAGCAGAGGGAAAAGGAGUGAUCCGCUUUGAGAUGGCCUCGCGUCCGAUUAGCUGGUUGGUGAGGUAACGGCCCACCAAGGCGACGAUCGGUAGCCGGACUGAGAGGUUGAACGGCCACAUUGGGACUGAGACACGGCCCAGACUCCUACGGGAGGCAGCAUG